GCUUUGGGGGUUCGGUUAGUGCGAAGACGACGUUCUUCUUUUCCCCUGGUGUCAGAAUGCCUGUUAAAAAAAAACCAACAGCCUCCACAACUAGGACAUGCACACAUUGGUGUAAUUUGAUGGUGAAAGGCCUGGGGAAUUCCUGUUAGGAAACCUGUAGACAAUACACUUUGAUCGGUAAUGGGAGUGUAACAUCUAGGGGUUGUACUAGAUGACAUCAAGGUGUCCCUUUCAACUCUUCUGUGAUUAAUGAGCCUUGGCGGGGGGUGGGGGGUGGGCAGUGGGGGCUUAAAAGUAGUUUAGACCAUUCUGUCUUUUUUUCUUUAGCAAAAUAUACCAUUCUUUUAAAAAUGACACCUGAAACAAAGCCAGCUGCUGUGUUUAAAAUAUUGAAAUAACAAGACUUGGAUUAGUUGGUGUAUGUGUGUAUGUUUUACAAGAGUUGAAUAGGCUGGGCACGGUGGCUCACGUCUGUAAUCCAGCACUUUGGGAGGCGGAGGUGAGCGGAUCACUUGAGGUCAGGAGUUUGAGACCAGCCUGGCCAACAUGGGGAAACCCCAACUCUACUAAAAGUAAAAAAUAAAAAAAGCUGGGUGUGAUGGCAGACGCCCGUGGUCCCAGCUACUCAGGAGGCUGAGGUGGGAGAAUCGCUUGAACCCGGGAGGCAGAGGUUGUAGUGAAUCGAGAUUGCGCCACUGCACUCCAGCGAAAGAGCAAAACUCUGUAUCAAAAAAAAGAAAAAAAAAAGUUGAAUGAAGUUUAUUUGGAAACCUGUUUUCACACCACUGAGGAGGCCAGGCAUGCUUGUACCAAAGCAGAAUGUUUCACCUCCAGAUAUGUCAACUUUGUCUUUAAAAGGUGAUCAAGCUCUCCUUGGAGGCAUUUUUUAUUUUUUGAACAUUUUUAGCCAUGGCGAGCUACCUCCUCAUUGUGAACAGCGCUUCCUCCCUUGUGAAAUUGGCUGUGUUAAGUAUUCUCUCCAAGAAGGUAUUAUGGCAGAUUUCCACAGUUUUAUAAAUCCUGGUGAAAUUCCACGAGGAUUUCGAUUUCAUUGUCAGGCUGCAAGUGAUUCUAGUCACAAGAUUCCUAUUUCAAAUUUUGAACGUGGGCAUAACCAAGCAACUGUGUUACAAAACCUUUAUAGAUUUAUUCAUCCCAACCCAGGGAACUGGCCACCUAUCUACUGCAAGUCUGAUGAUAGAACCAGAGUCAACUGGUGUUUGAAGCAUAUGGCAAAGGCAUCAGAAAUCAGGCAAGAUCUACAACUUCUCACUGUAGAGGACCUUGUAGUGGGGAUCUACCAACAAAAAUUUCUCAAGGAGCCCUCUAAGACUUGGAUUCGAAGCCUCCUAGAUGUGGCCAUGUGGGAUUAUUCUAGCAACACAAGGUCCCCUAGUCUCCUGAUGCUUCUUGUCAUAAUUCUUCUUGGACUAAUUCACUGUCUAUGAUCAGCUGACUAAACAUGGCAGCCUUUAUUUAAUCAACAAAUAUUUAUUGAGCACCUCCUCUGUGCCAGAAGAUGAUCCAAAGGUGCAAGUGGCAUGAAGAAAAUGAUAUUCUCUUCUGUGCUUUAGCUGUUUGCAAGAAGAUUGCGUACUGCAUCAGUAAUUCUCUGGCCACUCUCUUUGGAAUCCAGCUCACAGAGGCUCAUGUACCACUACAAGAUUAUGAGGCCAGCAAUAGUGUGACACCCAAAAUGGUUGUAUUGGAUGCAGGGCGUUACCAGAAGCUAAGGGUCGGGAGUUCAGGAUUCUCUCAUUUCAACUCUUCUAAUGAGGAACAAAGAUCAAACACACCCAUUGGUGACUACCCAUCUAGGGCAAAAAUUUCUGGCCAAAACAGCAGCGUUCGGGGAAGAGGAAUUACCCGCUUACUAGAGAGCAUCUCCAAUUCUUCCAGCAAUAUCCACAAAUUCUCCAACUGUGACACUUCACUCUCACCUUACAUGUCCCAAAAAGAUGGAUACAAAUCUUUCUCUUCCUUAUCUUAAUGAUGGUACUCUUUUCAAUUUCUGAAAACAGUAACAGGCCCAACUUCCUUCUUACUACAGUCAUAUUAAACAGAUCACAUCAAUGACAAAUGUCACUACUAUAAAAACUACUUAAUUUGUAAGGAAAUUGUUUCAUAGAUUUAAAAAAAUUGUGGUUGGAGAGCAUCUUGGCAUUUGUGCUUUUUUUCUUGAGGGAUUGUUCUGCUUCCUGGCUGUAUGAUGGGUAUAUCAUUAAAGUUUGGAGUCCUGUAUGAACAAAACUGACAUUUUUAGAGUUGUACUUUUGGGAAUGUUAUAGAUUGAUCAUUCUUUCUCCUGAUAAUAAAGGUAUUGAAUAUCUGUUAUGAAAGGUUCUAAAA
Molecule: small RNA, 2349 nt
Filed under: Pan troglodytes (chimpanzee)
Lineage: Eukaryota; Metazoa; Chordata; Mammalia; Primates; Hominidae
Description: processed transcript
Source: RNAcentral